UGCUGACAAACAGACUACAAAAUCUUUUAAUGUAAUACAGCUCUAAGACUCAUGGAGACUACUGCUAUCAUCGUUGCUGCUGCUCUACACAAUUACUGGGAGAAUCUUACUCUGUAACAUACCACAAUCACUGACCAAAGCAAAGAAAGGGUGCGCCCUCCAUUCACUGCUGCAGGGCCCAAAGAGAGCCAGUGUGAGGACUGCCAAUGUGAACUGACAGGUGAUAAAUGUUGGACCAGUGGGAUCUGACCACUAUGAUCCACAGAUUGGAGCAACAUGGGGCACUGGACCCACCACACUAGCAUGGCCGGGAGAGGAGUUGAAUGAAGCGGUCUGAGAAGAACAAAACAUACAUAUGGUUUUCAAAGCUCACCAAAGACUCUGGCCACAAAACCUAGAGGGAACUGAGAUGCAAACAU
Bufo bufo (common toad) is the source of this 419-nucleotide long non-coding RNA. RefSeq lists it as uncharacterized. Lineage: Eukaryota; Metazoa; Chordata; Amphibia; Anura; Bufonidae. The record is from RefSeq and is a predicted model, not a curated record. The transcript is spliced from 3 exons.